Molecule: unclassified non-coding RNA, 375 nt
Filed under: uncultured Mycocentrospora
Lineage: Eukaryota; Fungi; Ascomycota; Dothideomycetes; Mycosphaerellales; Mycosphaerellaceae
Description: sequence contains ITS2
Rfam family: 5.8S ribosomal RNA (bases 1-154)
Source: RNAcentral
AACUUUUAACAACGGAUCACUUGGUUCUGGCAUCGAUGAAGAACGCAGCGAAAUGCGAUACGUAGUGUGAAUUGCAGAAUUCAGUGAAUCAUCGAAUCUUUGAACGCACAUUGCACCUCUCGGUAUUCCGGGAGGUAUGCCUGUUCGAGCGUCAUUUGUACCCUCAAGCUCUGCUUGGUGUUGGGUGUUUGUUCCGCCUCUGUGUGUGAACUCGCCUUAAAACAAUUGGCAGCCGGCGUACUUGUUUCGGAGCGCAGCACAUUUUUGCGCUUUAGACCAAUGUACAGCGGCAUCCAAGAAGCCUUCUUUAACGCUCUUGACCUCGGAUCAGGUAGGGAUACCCGCUGAACUUAAGCAUAUCAAUAAGCGGAGGCU